RNAcentral lists this ribosomal RNA (501 nucleotides) under uncultured bacterium. RNAcentral's name for it is "partial 16S ribosomal RNA". It matches the Rfam family "Bacterial small subunit ribosomal RNA", at positions 30 to 523 of the family's 1533-position model. The record is from RNAcentral.
AUUGAACGCUGGCGGCAGGCUUAACACAUGCAAGUCGAGCGGGGGAAGGUAGCUUGCUACCGGACCUAGCGGCGGACGGGUGAGUAAUGCUUAGGAAUCUGCCUAUUAGUGGGGGACAACAUCUCGAAAGGGAUGCUAAUACCGCAUACGUCCUACGGGGGAAAGCAGGGGAUCUUCGGACCUUGCGCUAAUAGAUGAGCCUAAGUCGGAUUAGCUAGUUGGUGGGGUAGAGGCCUACCAAGGCGACGAUCUGUAGCGGGUCUGAGAGGAUGAUCCGCCACACUGGGACUGAGACACGGCCCAGACUCCUACGGGAGGCAGCAGUGAGGAAUAUUGGACAAUGGGGGGAACCCUGAUCCAGCCAUGCCGCGUGUGUGAAGAAGGCCUUAUGGUUGUAAAGCACUUUAAGCGAGGAGGAGGCUACUCUAGUUAAUACCUAGGGAUAGUGGACGUUACUCGCAGAACAAGCACCGGCUAACUCUGUGCCAGCCGCCGCCGUAA